AAACCUCAUUCUGCCUCUUCUCAAUCCCACCUUUCCCUUAUUUUCUUGUUUCUCUACACUUUUCUCUUUUAUUAUUUUCUGCUGCUGUAUGGUAAUAUAAAUAAUAAUGGUAGAUGGAAUCCUACCAAUAAUUCAUUAUUUUCUUCUGUAUAUGACAAAUUACACCACUUCUUGCCUGUCGGUAUUUAAAGAGGACAAAGAGCUGUGCAGCUGUCAUCAACAUUAUAUGGAUUAUUGUGAAAAAAAAAAUCCUACAAACAAGCAAACAAACAAGGUUGAGGGCUUUCUUCGAGAAGGGGCUUAUGGAGCUGGAAGAGCCGCAGUGGAUUUAGAUGAGCAGAGGUAAGGAGUCUUAAUCUUUCUCAGCAAGCAAACAAGGAGAAGGAAGAAAGAGAAGGUUGGAGCCAUGGUUGUACAUUGAUGAUAAAAGCAAUGAGUGUUUCUCAGAGGAGAAAAGGUUUUUUGGACUUUUUUGAGAGAGG
Molecule: unclassified non-coding RNA, 482 nt
Filed under: Hevea brasiliensis (rubber tree)
Lineage: Eukaryota; Viridiplantae; Streptophyta; Magnoliopsida; Malpighiales; Euphorbiaceae
Source: RNAcentral